RNAcentral lists this ribosomal RNA (253 nucleotides) under uncultured bacterium. Its description in RNAcentral is "partial 16S ribosomal RNA". It matches the Rfam family "Bacterial small subunit ribosomal RNA", at positions 524 to 776 of the family's 1533-position model. The record is from RNAcentral.
UACGUAGGGACCAAGCGUUGUUCGGAUUUACUGGGCGUAAAGGGCGCGUAGGCGGCGCCGCAAGUCACUUGUGAAAUCUCCGGGCUUAACUCGGAACGGCCAAGUGAAACUGUGGUGCUAGAGUGCGGAAGGGGCAAUCGGAAUUCUUGGUGUAGCGGUGAAAUGCGUAGAUAUCAAGAGGAACACCUGAGGUGAAGACGGGUUGCUGGGCCGACACUGACGCUGAGGCGCGAAAGCCAGGGGAGCAAACGGG